This is an RNA transcript of Vigna angularis (adzuki bean), 1191 nucleotides long. RefSeq lists it as uncharacterized. The record is from RefSeq and is a predicted model, not a curated record. The transcript has 2 exons. Lineage: Eukaryota; Viridiplantae; Streptophyta; Magnoliopsida; Fabales; Fabaceae.
UUAAACCUCUUUGGUUGAAAAUGAAAAUUGUGUCCUCAAGAAAGAAUUAACGUAUGUGAAUAUGUAGAAAGCUAUUAGAGACUAAGUUUCUCUUAUAUAUGUGUGUCUCUGUCUGUGCAUAACAGGUGUUCAAAGCAAUUCCCAUAAACAAAGUUCAUGGGCAAGAAAGGAGGGGCAAAAAAAUCGGAGUCUGUAUCUCACGCUCCAAUAUCAUUAAGGGAAGAGGUCACCGGAAAACUACAAACGAAGGCAGCCUCUGAGACCAAGUCAAAAUUGAGAUUUGAGCACUUGAAAAACCUUGCAGUGUGGGCCACCACCAAUGACCCUCCCAUACACUCUCUGGGCGCCUUCUAUGGACACCAAUUUGCCACCUUUGGAGAGUCAAUUGGAGUACCACCUGAUAAUUCUCUAAUAAUUUGCCAAAGAUGUAAAACUGUUCUUCAACCUGGCUUUAAUUCAACUGUAAGAAUUGAGAAGAGUAAGUUGAAGGUCAGGCGUAAGCAAAAGAAGUCUGGUAACAUUACUCAAAACAACGUAGUGUACAGGUGUCAUCAUUGUUUGCAUCAGAAUCUAAAGAGAGGGACACAUAAAAGGAAUCUGUCCGUCAAAAGUUAAAUCAUCAUUAGAGUCAACACCUCCAUCAAAAUCCAUUGUAAGUGAUUCUUGUAAAAUAGAGAAAGGCAUUGCAAGUAAAGAUGGAAUCAAUGAAAUAAAUGUGUUUCCUUCCCGAGGGGCCAAAACUCAAUCUACUUCGUCGAGUACAAAUACAAAAACUUUGUUAGAAGGAAAGAGGAGAAGGCAAGAUAGUCCCCUGUCCAAUGAUAUUAUUAAAACUACAAACAUGUCUGGAAAAGGAGCAAAUCCUGUGAGUACAUCCAUCAAAAGACGAAGAAAAUCUUGGAUGAGUUUAAAGGAAAUUGCUCAGAGCAAAGAGCAUAAGAACAGUCAGAUUGGUAAUUUGACAAUCCCAGUCUUUCUGUAAAUAGGGAAAUUUCCUGUGUUGGUUAAAUUCAAUUGUAUGUUUUACAUGAUGCCUGCUGGCCUUAUACUUCAAUUGCUGCUUCUACCUAAAUUGUCUUUACUGAUGCCCUGUUAGAGUCCUGUUCUCCUGUUUCCUAAGUCAUGUAUAAAUAGGUAUAAUAGUUAAAUAUAAUCAAGUAUUAUAUAAUAAGAUAUUAUGUAAUAUAUUGG